RNAcentral lists this ribosomal RNA (450 nucleotides) under uncultured bacterium. RNAcentral's name for it is "partial 16S ribosomal RNA". It matches the Rfam family "Bacterial small subunit ribosomal RNA", at positions 338 to 795 of the family's 1533-position model. The record is from RNAcentral.
CCUACGGGAGGCUGCAGUGGGGAAUAUUGGACAAUGGGCGCAAGCCUGAUCCAGCAAUGCCGCGUGUGUGAAGAAGGCCUGCGGGUUGUAAAGCACUUUAAGCAGGAAAGAAGGGGUGAAAGUUAAUACCUUUCAUCAUUGACGUUACCUGCAGAAUAAGCACCGGCUAACUCCGUGCCAGCAGCCGCGGUAAUACGUAGGGUGCGAACGUUAAUCGGAAUUCGUGGAGGUGAAUUGAUCAGAGGCGGGUGGAAGCCCUGGGCGUAACCUGGGAACUGCGGUGGAUACUGUCGGGCUAGAGUGUGGUAGAGGGGAGUGGAAUUUCCGGUGUAGCAGUGAAAUGCGUAGAGAUCGGAAGGAACACCAGUGGCGAAGGCGGCUCCCUGGACUAACACUGACGCUGAGGUGCGAAAGCGUGGGGAGCAAACAGGAUUAGAUACCCCGGUAGUC